Molecule: ribosomal RNA, 465 nt
Filed under: Vreelandella stevensii
Lineage: Bacteria; Pseudomonadati; Pseudomonadota; Gammaproteobacteria; Oceanospirillales; Halomonadaceae
Description: partial 16S ribosomal RNA
Rfam family: Bacterial small subunit ribosomal RNA
Source: RNAcentral
CCUACGGGGGGCAGCAGUGGGGAAUAUUGGACAAUGGGGGGAACCCUGAUCCAGCCAUGCCGCGUGUGUGAAGAAGGCCCUCGGGUUGUAAAGCACUUUCAGUGAGGAAGAACGCCUGGUGGUUAAUACCCAUCAGGAAAGACAUCACUCACAGAAGAAGCACCGGCUAACUCCGUUCCAGCAGCCGCGGUAAUACGGAGGGUGCGAGCGUUAAUCGGAAUUACUGGGCGUAAAGCGCGCGUAGGUGGCUUGAUAAGCCGGUUGUGAAAGCCCCGGGCUCAACCUGGGAACGGCAUCCGGAACUGUCAAGCUAGAGUGCAGGAGAGGAAGGUAGAAUUCCCGGUGUAGCGGUGAAAUGCGUAGAGAUCGGGAGGAAUACCAGUGGCGAAGGCGGCCUUCUGGACUGACACUGACACUGAGGUGCGAAAGCGUGGGUAGCAAACAGGAUUAGAUACCCCAGUAGUC